GAUGAAGAACGUAGCGAAAUGCGAUAAGUAAUGUGAAUUGCAGAAUUCAGUGAAUCAUCGAAUCUUUGAACGCACAUUGCGCCCGUCAGUAUUCUGACGGGCAUGCCUGUCCGAGCGUCAUUUCAACCCUCAAGCACUGCUUGGCGUUCGCGGAUUGCGUGCCCUCGCGGCGCUGCAACCGCCCAAAUACAGUGGCGGUCCCGCUGCGGCUCCCUUUGCGUAGUAACUCACCUCGCACUGGACCGGGCGGCGGCCUGCCGUAAAACCCCAACUCACGAAAUGUUGACCUCGGAUCAGGUAGGAAUACCCGCUGAACUUAAGCAUAUCAAUAAGCGGAGGA
This 340-nucleotide unclassified non-coding RNA is filed under the name soil metagenome. RNAcentral's name for it is "partial contains 5.8S ribosomal RNA, internal transcribed spacer 2, and large subunit ribosomal RNA". The stretch from base 1 to 120 matches the Rfam family "5.8S ribosomal RNA", at positions 35 to 154 of the family's 154-position model. The record is from RNAcentral.